RNAcentral lists this non-coding RNA (440 nucleotides) under Protocruzia adhaerens. The record is from RNAcentral. Lineage: Eukaryota; Ciliophora; Spirotrichea.
UAAUCUCUGGCUAACCGGAGAAAAAACCCACCCACCCCCAUGAAAAAAGAAAAAAACAAACAAAUUUUCAUCGAAAAACAAAAAAGAAAAAAUUAUCUUUCAAUUUUUUUCGACUUUCAAUGAAAAUCUACCCCGUUAAUUUUCGUAAUUUUUCUCCUUAUUCUAGUUUUUUUUUCUUUCCUGGCCCUCUUUACCUCUCUAUUAACCCUUUUUAUUUCGUCUCUCUGCAAAGUUGACGUGUUCUGGAAACGGUCGAGUAGGAUGAUGUUUCCCGUUCUCAUCCGGUCCAUUCUUCACCUUAAAAUCGAAGAGUGACAACCUCUUGUGUCAACAACUUUUUUUGCGGCCUGUAAUUUCCUUUUUCCUUUCUGAAAAAACAAAAGAAAGAAAGAAACAAUAAUUUGUUGUUAGUUUAAUGUUGUGCAUUGUUUACACUAUUU